Molecule: ribosomal RNA, 460 nt
Filed under: uncultured bacterium
Lineage: Bacteria
Description: partial 16S ribosomal RNA
Rfam family: Bacterial small subunit ribosomal RNA
Source: RNAcentral
CCUACGGGUGGCAGCAGUGAGGAAUAUUGGUCAAUGGACGAGAGUCUGAACCAGCCAAGUAGCGUGAAGGAUGACUGCCCUAUGGGUUGUAAACUUCUUUUAUAUGGGAAUAAAACAGGGUAUGCAUACCCUCUUGUAUGUACCAUAUGAAUAAGGAUCGGCUAACUCCGUGCCAGAAGCCGCGGUAAUACGGAGGAUCCGAGCGUUAUCCGGAUUUAUUGGGUUUAAAGGGAGCGUAGGUGGAUUGUUAAGUCAGUUGUGAAAGUUUGCGGCUCAACCGCGGAACUGAAUUUGAAACUGUUUUUCUUGAGUACCGGAGAGGUCAUCGGAAUUCGUGGUGUAGCGGUGAAAUGCGUAGAUAUAAGGAAGAACACCAGUGGCGAAGGCGGAUGACUGGACGGCAACUGACGGUGAGGCGCGAAAGUGUGGGUAUCAAACAGGAUUAGAUACCCGAGUAGUC